This 512-nucleotide ribosomal RNA is filed under the name Yamadazyma atlantica. RNAcentral's name for it is "[Candida] atlantica partial large subunit ribosomal RNA". It matches the Rfam family "Eukaryotic large subunit ribosomal RNA", at positions 62 to 630 of the family's 3401-position model. Lineage: Eukaryota; Fungi; Ascomycota; Pichiomycetes; Serinales; Debaryomycetaceae. The record is from RNAcentral.
AAACCAACAGGGAUUGCCUUAGUAGCGGCGAGUGAAGCGGCAAUAGCUCAAAUUUGAAAUCUGGCGCCUUCGGUGUCCGAGUUGUAAUUUGAAGAAGGUAUCUUUGGUUUUGGCUCUUGUCUAUGUUUCUUGGAACAGGACGUCAUAGAGGGUGAGAAUCCCGUCUGAUGAGAUGCCCAAUUCCAUGUAAAGUUCCUUCGACGAGUCGAGUUGUUUGGGAAUGCAGCUCUAAGUGGGUGGUAAAUUCCAUCUAAAGCUAAAUAUUGGCGAGAGACCGAUAGCGAACAAGUACUGUGAAGGAAAGAUGAAAAGAACUUUGAAAAGAGAGUGAAAAAGUACGUGAAAUUGUUGAAAGGGAAGGGUUUAAGGUCAGACUUGGUUUACCAGGCCAGCAUCGGUUUAGAUGGCAGGAUAAUGGCGUAGGAAUGUGGCUUUGCUUCGGUAAAGUGUUAUAGCCUGCGUUGAUACUGCCUAUUUAGACCGAGGACUGCGUCUUUGACAAGGAUGCUGGC